Molecule: ribosomal RNA, 496 nt
Filed under: uncultured bacterium
Lineage: Bacteria
Description: partial 16S ribosomal RNA
Rfam family: Bacterial small subunit ribosomal RNA
Source: RNAcentral
AUGCACGCUGGCGGCGUGCCUCAUCCCUGCCAGUCGAGCGCACAGACGAGGAGCUUGCUCCUCUGACGUUAGCGGCGGACGGGUGAGUAACACGUGGAUAACCUACCUAUAAGACUGGGAUAACUUCGGGAAACCGGAGCUAAUACCGGAUAAUAUAUUGAACCGCAUGGUUCAAUAGUAAAAGACGGUUUUGCUGUCACUUAUAGAUGGAUCCGCGCCGCAUUAGCUAGUUGGUAAGGUAACGGCUUACCAAGGCGACGAUGCGUAGCCGACCUGAGAGGGUGAUCGGCCACACUGGAACUGAGACACGGUCCAGACUCCUACGGGAGGCAGCAGUAGGGAAUCUUCCGCAAUGGGCGAAAGCCUGACGGAGCAACGCCGCGUGAGUGAUGAAGGUCUUCGGAUCGUAAAACUCUGUUAUUAGGGAAGAACAAAUGUGUAAGUAACUAUGCACGUCUUGACGGUACCUAAUCAGAAAGCCACGGCUAACUACGUG